AGCCAUCAGUAAAAAUCUCUCUCCUCCUUCGUUUAUGUUUUAUUUUUUCCAAAGUCAUUUGAAGAUGAGAAGCGAACGAAGCAAAGCGAAGAGAAGAGAAAGUAGCGUCACAGCCUUCACUAGUUCGUAUUCACCGUUCGCCCACCGUUCGCCGAUCGCCAUUACCGCCAUUCGCCGGUCACUGUUCGCUGUUUUCUGUCCCCUGGCCGUCCCUUCCCCUCCCCUCUUUCAUGAGUGCGAACCCUAAUUCCCCUUCCAGCGACUUUUUCUUCUCUUUAAACUCAACACCGAUAGUACCGGAAACAAUGCUUGCUAUGUUGAGCAAAUUGAUGGCAUUCCUAAGUUACAAGGUGGUGUCUCCUCUUCUAGAAAAAUGGGCACCGAUAAUGGGAGGCUCGGAUUGGAGACUGACAAAGACCAAUCCUUGAAGACAAGAGACUUCUUAAGUGGUAGUGCUCAAUUUUUUAUUCACUAUCUUAUACUUUCUAAUUUCUGAAGCAUUCAGAGUUGUGCAGGUACCCUAAAAUUUGGACAGGUAUUUCUCUAAACCCUUAUGAAUGAGCUUUACUAUCUAAAUUCCGGAGGCACAAUUUGGACAGUUUUCAAGAUGUGGGCAUUCACAACUUCCCUGAGGAUAUCUUGAGAGGCAGUAGAAGUGAAGCAUGAAUUGAUUGAAUUGCAAAAGCAUAUUGCUUUUCUUCUUGCUUGCUAUGACUACAAUAACGAAGAAUUUCAGAGUAUUUGUAAGAUUGGAACGGGAUUUACUGAAGACGUGCUCGAACCGCGUUCUAAAAGUCUUGGUUCUCAAGUGAUUCCAGAGCCAAAGUUAUACUAUCGAUAUGGAGAUACAAUGAAGCCUGAUGUCUGGCUUGAAGCUAGUGAGGUGUAGGAGGUGAAAGCUGCAGAUUUGACCAUUAGCCCAGUUCACUAUUCCAGUUGCAAGCUCAGUUCUUGAUCCCAUCCCCAUUCUCAAAAUGGUUGCUGCUACCACUCCUAUAGUUGGGUCCCAUGCUUGGGUUGAGGAUUCUGAAGUAGCAUGGAUAGAUAGUGAAGUCUUGGAGGUUAAUGGAGAAGAAGUUAAAGUCUCUUGCACUUCAGGGAAGACGACACUGAAGUUCUGCCAAGUGGAGUAGACGAUAUGACAAAGCUUGCAUACCUACACGAACCUGGUGUACUAGAAAAUCUGAGAUCAAGAUAUGAUAUCAAUGAAAUUUACGGGAUAGUUGAGGAGAGAAUGGAGGUGGUGCAAGCGCGUAAACAACGAAUGAUUUCUGGUGCCCUGAUUGAUCAAGAGGUUCGAACUGCACGGAUAGAGGAGCUGAAGAUGCAUUGUUAGGUUUACAAGUUUGGAUUAAGUUGGAAUUUUUUAAAUUUACAUAUGGAUUAUGACUAUGUAAUUAAAACUUGUAGAAUUCAGUUUUUGAAAUACAUUGUUGCUAUUUUUGUAAAACUUGCGGGAUUGAAUUUGGAUUUGUUGAAAAACAAUGUCAUUUAUGGAGAAUUCAACUUUUGAUAAUAGAAAUUUUGAUGUUGGAGAGA
Molecule: non-coding RNA, 1539 nt
Organism: Arachis ipaensis
Lineage: Eukaryota; Viridiplantae; Streptophyta; Magnoliopsida; Fabales; Fabaceae
Source: RefSeq, a predicted model, not a curated record